AGAGUUUGAUCAUGGCUCAGGACGAACGCUGGCGGCGUGCUUAACACAUGCAAGUCGAACGAUGAAGCCCAGCUUGCUGGGUGGAAGAGUGGCGAACGGGUGAGUAACACGUGAGUAACCUGCCCCGGACUCUGGGAUAAGCGCUGGAAACGGCGUCUAAUACUGGAUAUGACCCAUACCGGCAUCGGUUGUGGGUGGAAAGAUUUAUCGGUUCGGGAUGGGCUCGCGGCCUAUCAGCUGGAUGGUGAGGUAACGGCUCACCAUGGCGACGACGGGUAGCCGGCCUGAGAGGGUGACCGGCCACACUGGGACUGAGACACGGCCCAGACCCCUACGGGAGGCAGCAGUGGGGAAUAUUGCACAAUGGGCGAAAGCCUGAUGCAGCAACGCCGCGUGAGGGAUGACGGCCUUCGGGUUGUAAACCUCUUUUAGUAGGGAAGAAGCGAAAGUGACGGUACCUGCAGAAAAAGCACCGGCUAACUACGUGCCAGCAGCCGCGGUAAUA
This 505-nucleotide ribosomal RNA is filed under the name uncultured Leucobacter sp. RNAcentral describes it as "bacterial SSU rRNA". It matches the Rfam family "Bacterial small subunit ribosomal RNA", at positions 8 to 525 of the family's 1533-position model. Lineage: Bacteria; Bacillati; Actinomycetota; Actinomycetes; Micrococcales; Microbacteriaceae. The record is from RNAcentral.